CUUGUCCCUAGAAGCAUUGCAGAUGUGGCUGCUGUGUCAAAUGUUUGUCACAAGAUGUCAGAGGGAAGAGAGGCUGUGUCAACAUUCAGUAUACUAAUGUAAGUAAGAACAUCUGAAUGAUUAGUAACCUAAUAUU
This 136-nucleotide small nucleolar RNA is filed under the name Mus caroli (Ryukyu mouse). RNAcentral describes it as "predicted gene, 24470 (MGP_CAROLIEiJ_G0036763.1)". It matches the Rfam family "Small nucleolar RNA SNORA17". Rfam says of the family: snoRNA ACA 17 belongs to the H/ACA family of snoRNAs and is predicted to guide pseudouridylation of the 28S rRNA at positions U4659 and U4598. It shares the same host gene together with ACA43. The record is from RNAcentral. Lineage: Eukaryota; Metazoa; Chordata; Mammalia; Rodentia; Muridae.